GAAGCAGCAGAACAGAUAAGAAGUAGGAACAGACACAGUGUUCUAGUAUUUACUGUAUUUUAGCCAGUCAUACACCUUACAUUCACCUUAUAUACACCUUACAUACACCUACAUUCACACCUUAGGUGAAUUACUCAUCCACCUGUUUUCCAAGGGGUGACAGAUGUGGGAGUUUGAUGUCUAGGCAUGGUGGUUUUGUGCAUUGAUGUGAUAGCUAAGACACAAAGGCAAAGAAAAAACUGGGAGGCUGGAUUCAUUCUUCACUAUGUUGUCUCAUAAACUACUUUUCCUCUUAAUUUAUAAUCCCUAGAGAAUAGAGAGCUUGCCAGUACCCCAGCACCAUAUAGGGUCUUCCCUGGCUAGGUAUGUAGAGGGAGAGGAGAGAUACAUCAGACUGUCAAAAAGAAAUUUCAUGAUUACAACACAGAGACCCUGAACCCAGGACACAGAAACCUCAGGCACCCAGGGGAGCCCAAGACCUUCAGGACAGCUGCUUAACUUGGCAGUUUAAGUUGCAAGCCAACCAUAUCAGUAUUUAUUUAGUGGAAUUUCUGAGAAGCAGAAACUGUGCUGACCGGAGCCUUUGUAGGCAAACUGAAAAGAAAAAUCAGGUGGAAGAACAACAUGCUAGUGUUUUUCUAGUGAACUCAUAAACAAGUUGAGACUUACCCUUGAGAGCCAGCCAGGUGCUCCUAAGUUUCUGCAAG
Molecule: long non-coding RNA, 707 nt
Filed under: Cyanistes caeruleus (blue tit)
Lineage: Eukaryota; Metazoa; Chordata; Aves; Passeriformes; Paridae
Description: lncRNA (ENSCCEG00000011672.1)
Source: RNAcentral